Molecule: ribosomal RNA, 253 nt
Filed under: uncultured bacterium
Lineage: Bacteria
Description: partial 16S ribosomal RNA
Rfam family: Bacterial small subunit ribosomal RNA
Source: RNAcentral
UACGAAGGGGGCUAGCGUUGUUCGGAUUUACUGGGCGUAAAGCGCACGUAGGCGGAUUGUUAAGUCGGGGGUGAAAUCCUGAGGCUCAACCUCAGAACUGCCUUCGAUACUGGCGAUCUUGAGUUCGGAAGAGGUUGGUGGAACAGCUAGUGUAGAGGUGAAAUUCGUAGAUAUUAGCUAGAACACCAGUGGCGAAGGCGGCCAACUGGUCCGAUACUGACGCUGAGGUGCGAAAGCGUGGGGAGCAAACAGG